RNAcentral lists this ribosomal RNA (450 nucleotides) under uncultured bacterium. Its description in RNAcentral is "bacterial SSU rRNA". It matches the Rfam family "Bacterial small subunit ribosomal RNA", at positions 328 to 795 of the family's 1533-position model. The record is from RNAcentral.
GUUCCAGACUCCUACGGGAGGCAGCAGUGGGGAAUAUUGCACAAUGGGGGAAACCCUGAUGCAGCGACGCCGCGUGAGUGAAGAAGUAAUUCGUUAUGUAAAGCUCUAUCAGCAGGGAAGAAAAUGACGGUACCUGAGUAAGAAGCCCCGGCUAACUACGUGCCAGCAGCCGCGGUAAUACGUAGGGGGCAAGCGUUAUCCGGAUUUACUGGGUGUAAAGGGAGCGUAGACGGCAUGGCAAGUCAGAUGUGAAAGCCCGGGGCUCAACCCCGGGACUGCAUUUGAAACUGUCAGGCUGGAGUGCAGGAGAGGUAAGUGGAAUUCCUAGUGUAGCGGUGAAAUGCGUAGAUAUUAGGAGGAACAUCAGUGGCGAAGGCGACUUUCUGGACUGUAGCUGACGCUGAGGCACGAAAGUGUGGGGAGCAAACAGGAUUAGAUACCCGAGUAUCC